AACGAACGCUGGCGGCAUGCCUAACACAUGCAAGUCGAACGAUACCUUCGGGUCUCGUGGCGCACGGCUGCGUAACGCGUGGGAAGCUGCCCUUAGGUUCGGAAUAACUCCCCGAAAGGGGUGCUAAUACCGGAACAUGUCCUCGUACCAAAGAUUUAUCGCCUUUGGAUGGGCCCGCGUUGGAUUAGCUUGUUGGUAGGGUAAAAGCCUACCAAGGCGACGGUCCAUAGCUGGUCUGAGAGGAUGAUCAGCGACACUGGGACUGAGACACGGCCCAGACUCCUACGGGAUGGAGGAGUGGGGAAUACUGGACAAUGGGCGAAAUCCUGAUGCAGCAAGGCUGGGUGAGUGAUGAAGGCCUGAGGGUAGUAAAGCACGUUUACCCGGGAUGAUAAUGACAGUACCGGGAGAAUAAGCGCCGGCUAACUCCGUG
This 433-nucleotide ribosomal RNA is filed under the name uncultured bacterium. Its description in RNAcentral is "partial 16S ribosomal RNA". It matches the Rfam family "Bacterial small subunit ribosomal RNA", at positions 29 to 507 of the family's 1533-position model. The record is from RNAcentral.